This 58-nucleotide transfer RNA is filed under the name Salmo salar (Atlantic salmon). It matches the Rfam family "tRNA", at positions 8 to 63 of the family's 71-position model. Rfam says of the family: Transfer RNA (tRNA) molecules are approximately 80 nucleotides in length. Their secondary structure includes four short double-helical elements and three loops (D, anti-codon, and T loops). Further hydrogen bonds mediate the characteristic L-shaped molecular structure. tRNAs have two regions of fundamental functional importance: the anti-codon, which is responsible for specific mRNA codon recognition, and the 3' end, to which the tRNAs corresponding amino acid is attached (by aminoacyl-tRNA synthetases). tRNAs cope with the degeneracy of the genetic code in two manners: having more than one tRNA (with a specific anti-codon) for a particular amino acid; and 'wobble' base-pairing, i.e. permitting non-standard base-pairing at the 3rd anti-codon position. The record is from Rfam by way of RNAcentral. Lineage: Eukaryota; Metazoa; Chordata; Actinopteri; Salmoniformes; Salmonidae.
UGGCUCAGUUUGUAGAGCAUGGUGUUUGCAACGCCAGGGUUGUGGGUUUGAUUCCCAU